This 3963-nucleotide long non-coding RNA is filed under the name Anthonomus grandis grandis. RNAcentral describes it as "uncharacterized LOC126742973". Lineage: Eukaryota; Metazoa; Arthropoda; Insecta; Coleoptera; Curculionidae. The record is from RNAcentral.
CUGUACCCUAUGUUGUAAGUUCUAGGUUAACUAUUUAUAAUGAAAUACGGUGCAAUAGUCCAUCUGUGGUAUAAUAAGGGAUUCAAUCAACCUAUUGGUGCAAAACAUUUAUUUAAACAGAUGACGCAAUACACCACGUUAUUUCACGUUUGAGGUUAUGUUUCAUAUAUUUCGUAUUAAAACUAUUUGGUUUUUUUUGUUUGUUUAUGGUAUUUGCUUUCAUUAGGAUUCUAUGGAUUCGUCGCUCUAUAAUACCAACCAUGCAGGGGACACAACCAGUAAAAACCGAUAUGGAGAGAAAGUAUAGCAGGUUUAGGACCUCAAAUAAAACCAGUUUUGUUCCAGAAGGAAUGACGAUAUUUCGGCCUUUAUUUAUCCUCAGGGCUAUUUCUGUGCUAAAAACCAAUUAAUUCCCAAUAAUAAAAUAAAAAGUAGUCUUUAUCAGCAGUCAUUUACGGUAGUUUACAGACCAUAAACUAGUGCAAAAUACAUUUUUUAAAUAACGCAUCUCAGCAGUAAUUUAAAAUGUUUAAUACCAAAAGUUCCAAAUAGUAACCAAAUACUGAUUCCUAAAAAUUAUGUUGAGUCAUAAAUUUUUUUAUUGAAAAAAAAAACAAAAAAUAUUUUCAUCAUUUUCCAAUUACUUAAGACCGACAAAAUAUAAUAAAGCAUAAUCCGCAAUAAAACCCCUCUUUGGAUAGACGUCAAAUAUAAUUUAUGGCUUUUAAAGGGGGAUAAGCACAAAACGAGCGAGGUCAUUGUACCAGUUAUCAAGGCAGUACACAAUGUCGCUCAUUAAGAAAUAAAAGAGAAACAACACGAUAUAUUAAACGUAAAAUUUUCGUGAUGACAUAUAAUUUAGUACGCUAUUAAAGUUCUUAUUUUAAAGAGAUAUACUGUAUGUGCUUAAUACUUUAGUUAAUUUAAAUCAAGUGCUUGAAUAUUAAACUCUUGGAUACCUAAUGCUUAAGAGAAGUCAGAAAAUGGAUCAGAAGAGUCUAAAGAAACUAAAUGAUCAGUGAACGCUUUUAAACUUUCAUGCUAUCUAAAUCUAUCAAAGAAGAAACGAGUAUCAAAAAUGAAAAAAUUGAACUAGAGGGAUAUAUGGAGCUGCUUGGAAAAUUACUUCUAUUCAACCUUCAAUCACCGAUAUUUAAUAAAUAGAGCAAAGAAAAACCUUUUAUUUAACGUAUUAGGUGACGCAAAUCCCUCGGUAAGCUGAGAAGUUGACUCUUUUACGAUAGACCACACAUGCUCGAUGGGUGGUAGAUCAAGAGAGAUUCCUGGCCAUAAAGCGUAAGUUAAGGGUUAUAAAGAAACUUGGUAGUGAGUCACGUUAAAUGAGAUCUGAUAAGCCCUUUUAGGAAUCCUUAACAUUUGAUCAAAAGUUAUGUAUAGCUUGGUGUAACAGAGUCAUUCCAGAGAAGUGAAAACAAAAAUAAAUAAUAGAUGGUAAAUAAUCACUUACCAACAUAAUUUAUGAUAUUUGAUCUUAAAAGACAAAAGCAAAAAACACACUCUUGCGUUACUCUAAAAGAAGUAUGUUAUCUUAUCAAAGCUCUUUAUAUAAAUGCUUAAAGAUGUAUUUAAUAACCUCAAUGAAAGAAAAUAAAGUGCGAGUAAAGAUAAAGUAAAAGUAAAAAGAUAAACGAGUAAAAGAAAUUAAAAAAGACCUAAAGCUGAAAACAUGAAAAGUAGGACUAAAAAUAAAUAUAAUCAAAACAAAAUAAAUGAGCAACAAAAAUAAAGACACAUAGGACAAAGAUCCCUGGACGAGGCUUUUUUUUAUCUGAAGUUGAAUUCCCAUAAAUAUAUUUACCAAAAUAUUACAGCAAAUGUUAAAGCCUAAAAGUAAGUGAAGUCUUGAAUUCUUUAUUGUAUCGUAAUCAACACUGGGUCCUAAGUAUUCAGAGUUCUAUGGGUACUAGGAGUUCUUAAAUAAAAUAUAAAAUAUGUAGAAAUCUGCUUUGGCUAAUGACCAAAAAUUAAUAUAUCUCAACUGGAUUUCUAACAUCGAUAGUUGGCAAAGCAUUAUCACCACUAGCAGUAUCAUCUUCAUCAUAAUCAUUAUCUUCUUAUAAAAAAUGGUCGGAUAUCAAUUUCCAUUGCUUAUCCAUAUAUUCUUAAAUAGCUUGACGAAAACCGCUAGAUAAAUUAAACAUUUUCCUCGCAUAUGAACGAAACUUAAAAUACUUGUAAACUGUAUAAUUUAAAGCAACUUUCUUGGUAACUUCAUUUGUUAAAUUUUGCUUCUCGUUGAUAUAUCCAAGUUUCGCGAAAGUUUCACAUGUACAGUUUCAAACUUGCUGUAAUGUGAUAUGGAAACUUUAAAGUUAUGAUGUUGCCUUGCAAACUGUGAGAUUUUUAUUACAAACUUUUAUGAAUAUUAAAUGUCAGUCAGUUUUUUUUUAAUUAAAAGCCACAAUCUUCUAAUUUACAUCAUUUUCUUUGUGCUUUAGUUUCCUUUAGUAAAGACCUCGACAAUUAAAAGCCAUUAUUCUCUUAGAGCUGACACCAAAUUAACACUUUAAUUAAGAAUUUUGGGUCAGUAUUUACCGUGUUUUAUGAAAAUGAGCAGAGGUGAAGUUUUAGUAAUGAACAAUAUUUUAGGAUUAAAAUCUGGUGUAUUUAUGUUGUAUAUUAGUGCCUUUUUAAUUAAUUUUGAAAUUGUGCACUGAUAUACUUUAAUUAAUUAUGUUUCAUUGGUAAAAAUGUAAAAAAGAUUUUAGAAUUAAACGAUUUAAAAUAAAAAUUAAGUACCUGAGCACGUAGAUAAAAGAGAGAUUGGAAAAGUGACAUAAUAAAUAAAAACAUAAAAAAAAUUAAAAUGAAAAAGUAAUAAAUAUUACAGUAUCCUUUUUUUUAUUCAAAAGCCAACCAGACGAACCAGAAGAUCCUCUAAAGCACUUACAAACAAAAUAAUAAAAAUAUUAAUAUUUUAUCAGAACUAGUCUACUACCUCUACUUAAAUUAAUUUUAAAUUAAACUAAGGACAGCAUAGUUUGAAACUUUAUUGGCCAAUUUUAUCCAGUAAUAAUCACAAUUUCAGUCGGUAACCCAACAUUACUGGAAAUUGAGGGCGCGUUGCCAAACUGUCGCCUGGAAUGUGUAAUCUGGAUUGUUACCGUUAAGUACAUUGCCAAGGCUUAGUCCUUUGCUAGAUAAUAGGAAGGAACAGACAUUUGAGGCCUUAAUUAAGGAAAAAGCUAUUGUAAUCCUUUAAGAGAAAGGUAGCUUAGUAAGACUGAGCAAAUAAGUAAUGAUCAUCUGCUUCUUUCAUAUGCUAAAAUUUUUUUACUAAAACGUAUUAAAGACAGCAUUGCUCUGAUGAUUUAUUGAAGAAAUGUCUAAAGUCAUUCAUUAACAUGUAGAAGAGAACAUUUCAGUCACUUUAUAUAUAAGGCAAUGCAAAUCCACUAUUAAGUUCGAAGGUAAAUCCAGAUAUAUCGAAAUUCGGAUCACUCGGAGCAAGGAAACUCCCUGACGCGCCUGUGAAACCGGUUUAACUGAAUGCUGGGACCACCAACCCCACAGGAUCCGGCGGAGUUUCGGUUGCGCUUGCGAUUUAAGGCGUGUUCGAUUCCAUUCAGGAGUUUCGGGAUGAGAUGGAGACUGGACAGGAAAAAAAAAUUGGCCGUUGGAUGCAGGUUACGAGGGCUCUCCACGGGUUUUCGUAAAAGGCCGAGGUUCUGCAUGAAACUGAACGAACGAUUAGUCAGACUCGUUUGUCUUGCGGAAUUAUUGAGAGGGUCCUUUUUUAAUGGGAUAACGUUGAGUGUCAUUUAGAAGAGUUUUAUUGGAAGAUUGUUCUUUGUGAGUUUUGAUGCGAGGGUUUUCGGGAGACUUGAAAAUUCUUAGAAGUUUUUUGUUACUGCACUUUAAAUGUUUAAAAAAUAUUUAUCUUUAUUAAUAUAUACAUUAUCUACGUGUAUACAAUAUAUUUAUUAACAAAUUUUUCAAGUG